RNAcentral lists this transfer RNA (86 nucleotides) under Acidobacteriota bacterium. RNAcentral's name for it is "Acidobacteria bacterium tRNA-Ala". It matches the Rfam family "tRNA". Rfam says of the family: Transfer RNA (tRNA) molecules are approximately 80 nucleotides in length. Their secondary structure includes four short double-helical elements and three loops (D, anti-codon, and T loops). RNAcentral also lists the same sequence under 1 other name. The record is from RNAcentral. Lineage: Bacteria; Pseudomonadati; Acidobacteriota.
GUGGCUGAAAAUGCAAUCACGAUGAACCGGAGAGCGCAUCGUUCGCAACGAUGAGGUCGUCGGUUCGAUCCCGACUAGCUCCACCA